RNAcentral lists this ribosomal RNA (248 nucleotides) under Methanobrevibacter thaueri. Its description in RNAcentral is "partial 16S ribosomal RNA". It matches the Rfam family "Archaeal small subunit ribosomal RNA", at positions 1 to 243 of the family's 1478-position model. The record is from RNAcentral. Lineage: Archaea; Methanobacteriati; Methanobacteriota; Methanobacteria; Methanobacteriales; Methanobacteriaceae.
GUGUUCAAUUCUGUUUGAUCCUGGCAGAUGUUACUGCUAUUGGGAUUCGAUUAAGCCAUGCAAGUCGAACGAAUUUAGAUUCGUGGCGUACGGCUCAGUAACACGUGGAUAAUCUACCCUUAGGACCGGGAUAACCUUGGGAAACUGAGGAUAAUACUGGAUAGGCAAUUAUUCCUGUAAUGGUUUUUUGUUUAAAUGUUUUUUCGCCUAAGGAUGAGUCUGCGGCCGAUUAGGUAGUUGGUUAGGUA